UACGGGGGGGGCAAGCGUUGUUCGGAAUUACUGGGCGUAAAGGGCUCGUAGGUGGCCAACUAAGUCAGACGUGAAAUCCCUCGGCUUAACCGGGGAACUGCGUCUGAUACUGGAUGGCUUGAGAUUGGGAGAGGGAUGCGGAAUUCCAGGUGUAGCGGUGAAAUGCGUAGAUAUCAGGAGGAACACCGGUGGUGUAGACGGCUUUCUGGACCGUAACUGACGCUGAAACACGAAAGCGUGGGUAGCAAACAGG
Molecule: ribosomal RNA, 253 nt
Filed under: uncultured bacterium
Lineage: Bacteria
Description: partial 16S ribosomal RNA
Rfam family: Bacterial small subunit ribosomal RNA
Source: RNAcentral